GGUCAUGAACUGAUCUGUCCGUGCAGAAGCGGACAUAUUAACACAAGACGAGAAGACCCUAUGGAGCUUUAGACGCCCACCAACCGCGAAAAGCAGCCUACCUUAACAGAUGCUCUAAACAACGCGGUCCUGGUACAAACGUCUUCGGUUGGGGCGACCGCGGAGGAGAACAAAGCCUCCGAGAGGAAUGGGAACAAACCCUAAAACCAAGAGCCACAGCUCUAAGUCACAAAAAAUUUGACCGACAAUGAUCCGGCUUACUGCCGAUCAACGGACCAAGUUACCCUAGGGAUAACAGCGCAAUCCCCUCCCAGAGUCCAUAUCGACGAGGGGGUUUACGACCUCGAUGUUGGAUCAGGACAUCCUAAUGGUGCAGCCGCUAUUAAGGGUUCGUUUGUUCAACGAUUAAAGUCCUACGUGAUCUGAGUUCAGACCGGAGUAAUCCAGGUCAGUUUCUAUCUGUGAAGCUACCCUUCCUAUAAGCGAAGGACCGGAAUGAUGAGGCCCAUGCUACCAGCACGCCUCCCCCCAACCUGAUGAAGACAACUGAAUCAGACAAAGGGGGGCUACCCCCGGCCCAAGAGAAGGGCCG
This 592-nucleotide ribosomal RNA is filed under the name Sardinella longiceps (Indian oil sardine). Its description in RNAcentral is "partial 16S ribosomal RNA". The stretch from base 1 to 481 matches the Rfam family "Bacterial large subunit ribosomal RNA", at positions 2029 to 2925 of the family's 2925-position model. Lineage: Eukaryota; Metazoa; Chordata; Actinopteri; Clupeiformes; Clupeidae. The record is from RNAcentral.